GAAAGGAUUUAAACGAGGGGGGAACACGGAUAGCUCCGCUUAGCUUGCUCUAUCCUCUCUGUGAUCCGCAUCCAAAGCAGAGCUGUGGACAAUCACUACUUGAAACUCGUUCAACUGCUUUUUUCAUCUCGCUUGGCACAAACAUGCAACAACCACCCGUACUGCACUCCUGGCAGUCGCACACGCACCAGCUCGAAAGACAUGGCUCCAUCGUGGAUUCCCGGUUCAAGAAGCACUGGAUGAGCAGGACAGAGCGAAGGAUCCCAGUGAGAGGAAGAGAGGAGGCGGACUCUAUCAAGGAUGCUUGUUGCUCAAAACGUUAGGAUUUUGUCUGCCAAGAUAAUUGGUAUCUGUCCGGGACUAGUCAUCUCUCAUGGAAACACAGCAGGAUGAUGAAACUGCUUCAGGGGACCUUAAAUGAGAGACAUUAGAACAAAUCACCUCCACUCAGUGAUAGCUUUGAAGAGCGCUCCUCACGGGAAGUAAAAAGCACGGUUUGACUAAAUGGUAGAGAUCUUAUCUCUCUUUUCCUCUUUUAAUUCUUGUGUUUGUAAAAAAGAACUCUCCUUGAAAAAAAGAUUCCUUGCAUUCCUAAUUUUAACAAUUAAUAAAAUAUUCCUCUUUGUCAGGUGA
Gasterosteus aculeatus aculeatus (three-spined stickleback) is the source of this 633-nucleotide non-coding RNA. Lineage: Eukaryota; Metazoa; Chordata; Actinopteri; Perciformes; Gasterosteidae. The record is from RefSeq and is a predicted model, not a curated record.